RNAcentral lists this ribosomal RNA (468 nucleotides) under uncultured bacterium. Its description in RNAcentral is "partial 16S ribosomal RNA". It matches the Rfam family "Bacterial small subunit ribosomal RNA", at positions 28 to 507 of the family's 1533-position model. The record is from RNAcentral.
GACGAACGCUGGCGGCGUGCUUAACACAUGCAAGUCGAACGGAAAGGCCCUGAUCUUGUGGGGUGCUCGAGUGGCGAACGGGUGAGUAACACGUGUGUAUCCUGCCCUUGACUUUGGGAUAACUUCAGGAAACUGGGGCUAAUAUCGGAUAGGAGCUCCUGCUGCAUGGUGGGGGUUGGAAAGUUUCGGCGGUUGGGGAUGGACUCGCGGGUUAUCGUCUGGUUGGUGGGGUAGUGGCAUACAACGGCUGUGACGGGUAGCCGGCCUGAGAGGGGGACCGGCCACAAUACGACUAAGAGACGGCCCAGACGCCUACUGGAGGCAGCAGUGGAGAGUAUUACACAGUAAGCGGAAGCCUGAUGCAACAACGCCGCGUGCGGAAUGACGGCCUUCUGGGUAUGAACCGCUGUCGCCUGUAACGAAGCGGGAGUGACGGUAAUGGGUAAAGAAGCACCGGCUAACUACGUG